GAUGAAGAACGUAGCGAAAUGCGAUACUUGGUGUGAAUUGCAGAAUCCCGUGAACCAUCGAGUCUUUGAACGCAAGUUGCGCCCGAAGCCAUUAGGCCGAGGGCACGCCUGCCUGGGCGUCACACGUCGUUGCCCCCCCAUCUACUCCUUCGGGAUUGCGGGGGGCGGAUGAUGGCCUCCCGUGCGCCUCGUCGCGCGGUUGGCAUAAUUGCCAAGUCCUCGGCGACGCACGCCACGACAAUCGGUGGUUGCGAAACCUCGGUUGCCCGUCGUGUGCGGUCGUCGCGCAUCGAGGGCUCGAAAAAAUUGCCGGGCUCCGGCUCGGCUUUCAACGCGACCCCAGGUCAGGCGGGGUUACCCGCUGAAUUUAAGCAUAUCAAUAAGCGGAGGA
This 391-nucleotide unclassified non-coding RNA is filed under the name soil metagenome. RNAcentral's name for it is "partial contains 5.8S ribosomal RNA, internal transcribed spacer 2, and large subunit ribosomal RNA". The stretch from base 1 to 122 matches the Rfam family "5.8S ribosomal RNA", at positions 35 to 154 of the family's 154-position model. The record is from RNAcentral.